AUUCAUACCUGGCAGGGGCAAUACUAUGAUCAUAAAGGUGUUUUUUUUCCCAGAGAAAGAUUUAUCUAUUGUAUUCUGGAUGUGGUGACCUCUGCUAUUUCCACAUGUGGGAAACUUGAUUGCAGAAUUUGUGCUAUUGGGGUAAGACAAAAGUAACAGCAUCAA
Molecule: small nuclear RNA, 165 nt
Organism: Castor canadensis (American beaver)
Lineage: Eukaryota; Metazoa; Chordata; Mammalia; Rodentia; Castoridae
Gene: U1
Rfam family: U1 spliceosomal RNA
About the family: U1 is a small nuclear RNA (snRNA) component of the spliceosome (involved in pre-mRNA splicing).
Source: Ensembl